GCGGUAUUGGUAUAACGGCUAUUACGGAACCUUGCCAAGGUUCAAACACGAGUUCGACUCUCGUAUACCGCU
Molecule: transfer RNA, 72 nt
Filed under: Nephroselmis olivacea
Lineage: Eukaryota; Viridiplantae; Chlorophyta; Nephroselmidophyceae; Nephroselmidales; Nephroselmidaceae
Description: tRNA-Gly
Rfam family: tRNA
About the family: Transfer RNA (tRNA) molecules are approximately 80 nucleotides in length.
Source: RNAcentral